RNAcentral lists this long non-coding RNA (612 nucleotides) under Paramuricea clavata. Lineage: Eukaryota; Metazoa; Cnidaria; Anthozoa; Malacalcyonacea; Plexauridae. The record is from RNAcentral.
CAGUAAGAACACUCAUGUCAUUCUUAAGUUAACUAAUUGGCAAAUUCCUAUUUAUCAGAAGAAAAUUAACAAUAAAAUCAGCCAAUCUCGUACCACACAACGAUGGGCUCCGGGGACAGCAUAAACAAAGUGUAAAAAGCCUGAGACUUACACUGUAAAGUCUUAUUAUUAAACUAUAAAGUCUUAAGAAUAAUGUCUAAAUAAGUACAUUUCAUAUUCCUCUUUCUUGAAGUGCUUCUCGCAAACAUACAACGUCCCAUUUUUUGAUUUGCCUUCGCAAAUUUUCAUCCACUACGCGGUCCUUUGUAAUUAUGUUGCUCCACGCUUCACGAGUUUUCGUUGAUAAUGCGUCUUUUCCUGAAGGGAUCCGAAAACUUCCAACUCCAGCACUAUUUCGACAUGUACCACAGCCGAUAUGGAGCAAUUCGCUCCCGGCAUCGCGGAAAAUUCAAUGAAAUUUAAUGUUUUUAGGCUCUGUUUGGCUUAAACUAUUAUACUAUCGUAUAUGUAAACACCUCGAAGCAUGCACUAUAAGUUCCACGUGACCGAGAACAAUAAGUUAUUUUGUCACGUGAUCCGGCCUUCCAAACCCUCUCAUUAUAUUAACUAUGG